UUUCUCGUAGCUUAGUGGUCAGAGCAUUAGUACGUAAAGCCAAAGGUCCCGGGAUCGAUUCCCGGCGGGGGUG
Agrilus planipennis (emerald ash borer) is the source of this 73-nucleotide non-coding RNA. The record is from Rfam. NCBI's taxonomy places the organism in Eukaryota, Metazoa, Arthropoda, Insecta, Coleoptera, Buprestidae.